AGUCACUGACAUUAGAUACCCCCGUAGUCCAGGGUGUAAACGCUGCAGACUUGGUGUUGGAGGCCCUUUGGGGGGCAUUCAGUGCCGGAGAGAAGUUGUUAAGUCUGCUACUUGGGGAGUACGUCCGCAAGGAUGAAACUUAAAGGAAUUGGCGGGGGAGCACCGCAACGGGAGGAGCGUGCGGUUUAAUUGGAUUCAACACCGUAAACUCACCAGGGAAGACUGUUACAUGAAGGCCGAGAUGAAGACUCUGCUAGAUUUUCAG
RNAcentral lists this ribosomal RNA (265 nucleotides) under uncultured archaeon. Its description in RNAcentral is "partial 16S ribosomal RNA". It matches the Rfam family "Archaeal small subunit ribosomal RNA", at positions 718 to 982 of the family's 1478-position model. The record is from RNAcentral.